This 561-nucleotide ribosomal RNA is filed under the name uncultured bacterium. Its description in RNAcentral is "bacterial SSU rRNA". It matches the Rfam family "Bacterial small subunit ribosomal RNA", at positions 338 to 916 of the family's 1533-position model. The record is from RNAcentral.
CCUACGGGAGGCAGCAGUGGGGAAUAUUGGACAAUGGGCGAAAGCCUGAUCCAGCAAUGCCGCGUGAGUGAUGAAGGCCUUAGGGUUGUAAAGCUCUUUUACCCGGGAUGAUAAUGACAGUACCGGGAGAAUAAGCUCCGGCUAACUCCGUGCCAGCAGCCGCGGUAAUACGGAGGGAGCUAGCGUUGUUCGGAAUUACUGGGCGUAAAGCGCACGUAGGCGGCUUUGUAAGUUAGAGGUGAAAGCCUGGAGCUCAACUCCAGAAUUGCCUUUAAGACUGCAUCGCUUGAAUCCAGGAGAGGUGAGUGGAAUUCCGAGUGUAGAGGUGAAAUUCGUAGAUAUUCGGAAGAACACCAGUGGCGAAGGCGGCUCACUGGACUGGUAUUGACGCUGAGGUGCGAAAGCGUGGGGGGCAAACAGGAUUAGAUACCCUGGUAGUCCACGCCGUAAACGAUGAUAACUAGCUGUCAGGGUUCUUAGAACUUUGGUGGCGCAGCUAACGCAUUAAGUUAUCCGCCUGGGGAGUACGGUCGCAAGAUUAAAACUCAAAGGAAUUGACGG